CGGGACCCGGAGCGCGCGGCCGGGGCGGUGACGAGAGCCCGGGGCGGAGGCGGAGGCGGAGGCUGAGGC
Molecule: microRNA precursor, 69 nt
Filed under: Octodon degus (degu)
Lineage: Eukaryota; Metazoa; Chordata; Mammalia; Rodentia; Octodontidae
Description: miRNA (ENSODEG00000021907.1)
Source: RNAcentral